CAACAUCAAUUCUCUACUUUGCCUCACACCUAUUUUCCUUGAAUGGCUCCUGCAGCCUCAUCAGAUUGUACUUUUAACAAAACUGAACCAUCUCCACUAGUUUAGUGAAUCUGAUAUUGUCCAAUUCAAAAUCUAACCUGGCUUCAUCCCCGACUUGUAACGACUCUGAAAAUUUCAAAUAAAAUAGAUUAUGAAUCUAGUGCAGAAGCGAAAUAAAUAAUGAAGGUUCACAUUCCUUACACAUAAACUUAAUGUCCCAAAUAGUGCUACGAAAAUUACCCGUUUAAAAAAAAUACAAAAAAUUAAGGAAAUAAACGUGAAUUACCUCUUUUGGCAGUCGAAAAGGGCUCCGGUGUGGCGGCAGGUGGUAGCGGCUCUCCUUCCCGGUGGUUGGGUCUUCUUCUCCGGCGAGGGCGUCUGGCGGCUAGGGUUAGGGUUUGGUGUAAAGAAGGUUAUUUAUAUAUGUCCUCAUCUAAUAUGGGUCGUCCAUCGUGUUUCAUCUGGUCCGUCCGAUUACAGUUAAAUAAGGAGUAAAUCUGGA
RNAcentral lists this long non-coding RNA (541 nucleotides) under Carica papaya (papaya). RNAcentral's name for it is "long non-coding RNA (CPAP_LNC003040)". Lineage: Eukaryota; Viridiplantae; Streptophyta; Magnoliopsida; Brassicales; Caricaceae. The record is from RNAcentral.